Molecule: ribosomal RNA, 246 nt
Filed under: uncultured bacterium
Lineage: Bacteria
Description: partial 16S ribosomal RNA
Rfam family: Bacterial small subunit ribosomal RNA
Source: RNAcentral
CUUCCUACGGGGGGCAGCAGUGAGGAAUAUUGGUCAAUGGGCGGGAGCCUGAACCAGCCAAGUCGCGUGAGGGAAGACGGUCCUAUGGAUUGUAAACCUCUUUAGGCGGGGAGCAAUGCCGGGCACGCGUGCCCGUAUGGAGAGUACCCGCAGAAAAAGCAUCGGCUAACUCCGUGCCAGCAGCCGCGGAAAUACGGAGGAUGCGAGCGUUAUCCGGAUUUAUUGGGUUUAAAGGUGGCGUAGGCG